Onychomys torridus (southern grasshopper mouse) is the source of this 358-nucleotide long non-coding RNA. RefSeq lists it as uncharacterized. Lineage: Eukaryota; Metazoa; Chordata; Mammalia; Rodentia; Cricetidae. The transcript is spliced from 3 exons. The record is from RefSeq and is a predicted model, not a curated record.
GGGAAAGAAGGAACCGAUUCUAGAAAUGGUUAAGUCACUUUAUCCUUGAAGAGCAGGUGUUAAUUCAUUUGCACGGUGGGCAGGAACGAGGAGGGCGAAAGUCCUGUCCCCUCCAUCACUCCAGAGAAGACCCACUGCUCUGGCAGGCGGCAGGAAACCUGACUCCCGCUAAAAAGGGACAUCUAAUCCUUUUGGUGGCUCAGGCCACCAGUGACUAGUACCUGCUCAUGGCAUUGCAGUCUAGAGAAUGGCAACAUGGUGAGAGAGCAUACGCAGGACAUGCUGGCGGUGAAGCAGAGCCAGACAACCUGGACAGGGCUGUCACUGGAGAGGAAGCAGAGCCAGGCACAUGGUUAGA